Gossypium raimondii (Peruvian cotton) is the source of this 736-nucleotide long non-coding RNA. RefSeq lists it as uncharacterized. The transcript has 2 exons. NCBI's taxonomy places the organism in Eukaryota, Viridiplantae, Streptophyta, Magnoliopsida, Malvales, Malvaceae. The record is from RefSeq and is a predicted model, not a curated record.
UUUUUCUUCUUUUUCUUCUCUUUUUUUUCUUUCCCUUUUUUCUUUUCUUCUCUUUUUUUUUUUUCCUUUUCCAAACCCUAGCCGCCACUCGCCUCUCCUCUCGUCCCCUGUUGCCAGUGAUCCCUCCGUCCGGUGGUGCGGCGGUGUUGACGACGGUGGUACUACGGCGGUGGGCGCGGUGGCACUGAUGCGACGGCAGUGGGCUGUUGCUAUUAUUAUUUUUUUGAUUUUUUUUCUUUUUUUUUUUGUGAUUGUGUGGGCGUUUUAGGUGGUGGAGGUAAGGGGAAACCGACGGUGGCGGUGGUUGCGUGACGGUGGUGAGAGGAGAACCGGCCAGAUUUGAGAUUUUUUUUUGAAGUUUCUCUGCUGUUUUUUCUUUUUUUUCCAAAAACCGAAUCCCUCUUCUCUUUCAAUUUUUUCUUUUUAAUCUUGCUGAUUUGUCUUCUUUCCCUUUGUCUUCAGGUGACAGUGGAGUAUUAUGGGCCUAGGGAGGCUGCCAGAGUAGCUGGAGGUGGCAGUGCACGCUCGGCUGCUGAUUGGGGGAUUUGACAUGUCUAGAAUGACUAAACUGUAGAGGAUGCAAAACUUUUGGGGAAAAGCAUAAUUUUAGAAAAAUAUGGGCCAAAAUGUAAUUUCUAGAAAGUUUAGGGGCCUGAAUGUAAUUUACAAAAUAUUAGGGGUCAAAAUGUAAUUUUUAAAAAAUUUAAAGGCUAAAAUGUAAUUUAUAUUUUUUGCA